Gadus morhua (Atlantic cod) is the source of this 2767-nucleotide long non-coding RNA. NCBI's taxonomy places the organism in Eukaryota, Metazoa, Chordata, Actinopteri, Gadiformes, Gadidae. The record is from Ensembl.
GAACCAGCAGUCAGGUGACUGUGACUCAGACACCAGUAGUGUCCGUUGCUCCAGGAUCCACAGUCACUCUGACCUGUAAAACAAACCCAGCAGUUUACACAUAUAGUACUAAUCAGUAUCUACACUGGUACCAACAGAAACAUGGAGAAGCCCCCAAGCUCAUCAUAAAAUAUGCAGACCAACUUGUAUCACCAACACCAGCUCGGUUUAGUGGCAGUGGAAGCAGCACUGACUUCUCUCUGACCAUCACCGGCGCCCAGCGUGAAGAUGCAGCAGUUUAUCACUGUCAGAGUGUCCACUAUCCUAACAGUGUCUGGGUGUUCACACAGUGAUUGAGAGCCGUACAAAAACCUCCCUCAGUCACACUGCGUAGACACUGAGCUGUUACAGCAGGAACCUGCUGCAGCUGCUGAGGGGGAAGAGACUCUGACACAGAGCGCUGAGCACAGAGCUGGCUCUAACCAGGGGCCUCAACCAAGAGCCAGCAUUAGAUUCCUCAGCAUUAUUAAACAUACAAGUACUACCUCAAGUACCACGUAUUACAUACAACUAUUAUCUCAACUACCACAUCGUCGCUGUCCGAUGAAAACCGCGUAUGUCCAUUUUUGCCGAUUUUGAGAUUUUACGAUGAUAGUUAUGUCCAGGUUCAUUUCCGUAUACAGUAUGCGUCAUGAACCUAAUUGACCAAUGAAAAGUUGUGAAACACGUCAUCUGAUUUUCAAGUAUAUCCAUUUGGUGUCAAAGCUGUCAGUCCCGCCGCGUAUCUCCCGCCCUGUGGAGUCAUCUCAUUAGCGUCUCUGGAAGCGCAUCAUCGGGUAGCCGAAUAACACUUUGAAGGAUGUCUUUCUCUCUUAAGGAGAUGUGUGAAAUGGUCAAUGUCAGGUAUGAUAGGGUACUUGAGGCGAACGUGAGGGUCAACAAUGAGGAGGAAGAUUCAGUUGAAAGUGACGGUGCAAAUACAGCUGCCAAUGAGGAUUCUCUGGAAAGUGAUAAUGACAAUCACUCUGAAAGUGCCAGUGAUGACUCACUUGAACACGAUCCUGAAAAUGACCCGGAAUACACACCUGUCAAUGAAGAUGCUGUUGAUGUUGAUGUUGCUGUUGACCGGGGAAGGUCAAGAAAGAGGGCCAACCCAGACGCUUGGAAGGGUAACAUUCAGAAAAGGAGAAGAAUGAGGGGCCAAUCAUAUCUUGGACGAAAAAAAAAUGAAUUCAUCAACAUAGAAGAAAGAAAAAUGGAGGGGCGGUGCCUGGCUGAGGCCUGCCGGAAAUCCAGCAAACUACACUGCACCGAAAUCGAUGAAGGGAAGAGGGAAAAAAUAUUCAAGUAUUUUUGGGGGAAAUUGGACUGGAAAGAAAGGAAAAUCUAUGUGAAGUCACUGGUGGAGGUGAGUGAUGUCAAGCGGCGCCGGACAGAAGCGGUUCAGUCUCGGAGGUCAGCAUCUCUCUGUUGUUUUUUAUGUGUUGAUGGUAAAAGGCUCAGAGUUUGUCAGCGGAUGUUCCUGUCGACCCUUGGCAUCAAGCAGUGGAGUGUUCUAAAAUGGGUUGGAAGAAGAGAUGAAAGUCCUGAGAAGACGGCAAGAGUGAGGGUGAGGACAGAGGAGCGGGACUUCCUAAAGUCCUUUCUUCUUGAACUGCCGAAAGUACCAUCGCACUACUGUAGGUCCUCCUCUUCCAAGAUGUACCUGGAGCCUUUAUUCAAAUCAAUCAAUCAUCUCCACUCACAAUAUAAGCAGGCAUGUGCAGCCAACGGCAUCCAGGCUCUGUCAAGACAAGUGUUCAGUAACACCUUUAAAGAAUUAAAUCUGUCAUUGUUCCAUCCAAAAAAAGAUCAGUGUGACACUUGCUGUGCCUUCAAAGCCGGGAACAUCGAGGCUGCUGUGUGGGAGGAACACUGCGUUAAGAAGGACGAGGCACGAGCAGAAAAGGAUAGGGACAAGCAACUUGCAAAUAACACCACCUUGGUUGCAUGCAUGGAUCUGCAGGGCCUUCUCCUCUGCCCAAAGCUUCAAGCGUCUGCCCUCUAUUUCAAAAUGAAGCUGAGUGUCCAUAAUUUUACCAUCUACAAUAUGGCAUCACAUGAAGCGACAAAUUACCUUUGGCAUGAGGGUGAGGGGGGGGUCUCUGCCAAUGAGUUUGCCUCCUGCAUUGUGGACUAUCUUGAAACACACCUCACUUACACUGAAUUCAUUCUUUGGAGUGAUGGGUGUGGUUAUCAAAACCGAAACCUGGUCCUGAGCAAUGCCCUCUUAAAGUUUGCCACUGAAAGAAAAAAGCAAGUGACGCAGAAGUACCUUCAAAGAGGCCACACACAGAUGGAAUGUGACUCUGUGCACAGUGUGAUCGAAAGAAAGCUAAGGAACCGAGAUGUACAUGUUCCAGCUGAGUAUGCUGCAGUCAUUCGGGGAGCUCGUUCAAGUCCAAAACCAUACGAGCUGAAGUAUGUUGAUUACAGCUUUUUCCAAGACUUCAGCAAAGUGAAAAUCUGCAAGUCAAUUCGACCUGGUAGCAAAGCAGGCGAUCCUACGGUGCAUGACCUCCGAGCAGUCAGAUACAAUGUGGACGGCAGUAUGGAGUUCAAAUUACUCCACUCCGACAACUGGCAACCCUUCACAUCCCCAUCCCUGAGGAAGGCGUGUGUCAGCGUGGCCCCACUCUAUACAUCCCCCCAGAAAAUUAAAGCACUGAAGUUCAAGCACCUUCAAGAACUGAAACAUGUCUUACCGAAGGACUUUCAUCCAUUUUAUGAUGCACUUGACCAUGAGUGA